ACACGGGGGGCGCAAGCGUUAUUCGGAAUUAUUGGGCGUAAAGGGCGUGUAGGCGGUUUUAUCGGUCAGAUGUGAAAGCCCAGGGCUCAACCCUGGACGCGCAUUUGAAACAGUAAGACUUGAGUACGGUAGAGGAAAGCGGAAUUCCUGGUGUAGAGGUGAAAUUCGUAGAUAUCAGGAGGAACACCGAUGGCGAAGGCAGCUUUCUGGACCGAAACUGACGCUGAUGCGCGAAGGCGUGGGUAGCGAACAGGAUUAGAAACCCUAGUAGUCC
This 274-nucleotide ribosomal RNA is filed under the name uncultured bacterium. Its description in RNAcentral is "partial 16S ribosomal RNA". It matches the Rfam family "Bacterial small subunit ribosomal RNA", at positions 523 to 796 of the family's 1533-position model. The record is from RNAcentral.